UAAUACGUAGGAUGCAAGCGUUGUCCGGAAUUAUUGGGCGUAAAGCGAACGUAGGCGGCUUCUUAAGUUUGGUCUUAAAGACCGGGGCUCAACCCCGGGAAUGGACUGAAUACUGGGAGGCUGGAGGAUGUCAGAGGAAAGUGGAAUUCCCAGUGUAGCGGUGAAAUGCGUAGAUAUUGGGAGGAACACCAGUGGCGAAAGCGACUUUCUGGGGCAUUCCUGACGCUGAGGUUCGAAAGCUCGGGGAGCAAACAGGAUUAGAUACCCUGGUAGUCCGAGCCGUAAACGAUGGAUACUAGGUGUUGUGGGUAUCGACUCCCACAGUGCCGUAGCUAACGCGUUAAGUAUCCCGCCUGGGGAGUACGGUCGCAAGACU
This 376-nucleotide ribosomal RNA is filed under the name uncultured bacterium. RNAcentral's name for it is "bacterial SSU rRNA". It matches the Rfam family "Bacterial small subunit ribosomal RNA", at positions 521 to 895 of the family's 1533-position model. The record is from RNAcentral.